RNAcentral lists this ribosomal RNA (549 nucleotides) under uncultured bacterium. RNAcentral's name for it is "bacterial SSU rRNA". It matches the Rfam family "Bacterial small subunit ribosomal RNA", at positions 356 to 896 of the family's 1533-position model. The record is from RNAcentral.
GGGGAAUCUUCCGCAAUGGACGAAAGUCUGACGGAGCAACGCCGCGUGAGUGAUGACGGCCUUCGGGUUGUAAAGCUCUGUUAAUCGGGACGAAAGGCCUUCUUGCGAAUAGCUAGAAGGAUUGACGGUACCGGAAUAGAAAGCCACGGCUAACUACGUGCCAGCAGCCGCGGUAAUACGUAGGUGGCAAGCGUUGUCCGGAAUUAUUGGGCGUAAAGCGCGCGCAGGCGGAUUGGUCAGUCUGUCUUAAAAGUUCGGGGCUUAACCCCGUGAUGGGAUGGAAACUGCCAAUCUAGAGUAUCGGAGAGGAAAGUGGAAUUCCUAGUGUAGCGGUGAAAUGCGUAGAUAUUAGGAAGAACACCAGUGGCGAAGGCGACUUUCUGGACGAAAACUGACGCUGAGGCGUGAAAGCCAGGGGAGCGAACGGGAUUAGAUACCCCGGUAGUCCUGGCCGUAAACGAUGGGUACUAGGUGUAGGAGGUAUCGACCCCUUCUGUGCCGGAGUUAACGCAAUAAGUACCCCGCCUGGGGAGUACGACCGCAAGGUUG